RNAcentral lists this unclassified non-coding RNA (365 nucleotides) under Hevea brasiliensis (rubber tree). The record is from RNAcentral. Lineage: Eukaryota; Viridiplantae; Streptophyta; Magnoliopsida; Malpighiales; Euphorbiaceae.
ACUAUCCAAAACCCCUGAAAAGGAUGAGACACUAAUUUUUGGUGGGGGAAGGGCCGGGAAGAGAACAAUAAGAAUCAAGAUUUCACCAAGUGAAGAAGGGGGCAAACCAUCAACAACUAUGCACGAAUCCAUCAUGCAACAGCACCAGAAAGCAUUUAGACACCGAGCCAGUGGCAAUCUAGGCUACAAAUCCAAGGUCAUUUACAAGAAGCAGAAGGCACGAGGAUUGACCAGUACAGAUGUCUAGUUUCUGCCAUUGCUUUGCUUUUCUCUGGUGCUGUCCUUUUUGGUGCUGUUGUCACUGUAAAUUCAAGGCCACCAAUGGCAUUAAAGGAAAGAAAGAGAAAGAGAAAGAGCUUAUCAAC